Molecule: non-coding RNA, 2028 nt
Organism: Sesamum indicum (sesame)
Lineage: Eukaryota; Viridiplantae; Streptophyta; Magnoliopsida; Lamiales; Pedaliaceae
Source: RefSeq, a predicted model, not a curated record
UCACUACAAUAACAGAUAGGGGCCGGUUAUAGAAUUUGGAUCCCUGCUAAAUCUUCAUAUUCAAAUUCAGCGGGGCCUCAACGUCAACAAAUCUCCGGCGAAGUUUCAAGAAUCCUUCUUCCCUCUUGUAAUCCGAUUCCACGGAUUGAAGCGCAAUCUUUUUCUUGAUUGAUCCGUUGAUCACAAGCUAUUCGAUGGAGGUUUUCCAAUCCGAGAUCCACCAGGUGUUUGUGAAAUUGCUAGAUGGAAAGCACGGAAUCUUGAAUUUCAACGCACCGUCAAUCUCCGUCGCUGCCCUCAAACACCGUAUCCAGACUGUGACCUCCAUCCCCUCCCAUCUCCAACUCCUAUUAAACAACUCCCAUAUACUCCAUGACCACCAAACCCUCACUCUUUCUCAAUCCCUCGAGAAUUCCCCGUUUCCGGAAACCCUUGAUCAUGAUUCCAAUAGUCAAUUAGCCCAAGGUCAAGAUUUUACCCAAUUUCGUUUUGUGGGUUCGGCUGUAAAACCGUUAGGUUUUGAUGGGUUGGGGAAGUUUCCUGUUGUUGUGCAUUUGUUGCUGAGGCUUAGGGGUGGGAAAGGGGGGUUUGGGUCGUUGCUGAGAGGCGCGGCAACGAAGGCCGGUCAGAAGAAAACGAACAAUUUUGAUGCUUGUAGGGAUAUGAGUGGGCGGAGGCUGAGGCACGUGAACGCGGAGAAGAAGCUGGAAGAGUGGAGAGCAGACGCGGAGGAAAGGCAGUUGGAAAAGAUGGCUGAGGAGUUCAUAAAGAAGAAGGCCAAAGAGGCCGUGAAGAGUGGGAAGAGCAAUGGAAGUGAUAGUUCUGAGAAGUACGUAGCAAAGUACAGAGAGGAUUCAGCUAAGUGUAUGGAGGAGGUGGAAAGGUCGGUCAGAGAGUCAGUUCAAGGUUUGAUGAGCUCGAAGAGAAAACAUAAUGCUGUGGGGAGUGAGUCUGCAUCCAAGCGAUUGAAGAUAUGGUUGGGAAAGAGAAAAUUGGGUGAUAGUGACAGUGAAGACCAGGAUGAUGAUGAUGAUAUUGAUGAAGAAGAAGAGGAGGAGGAGAAUGAGAAAUCUGUUAUCAUAGAUAAUGGGAGUCGCUCGGAUUCAAGUAGAGAAACAGAGGCAAGUUCUGGUUCAAUUACUGGUGGGAAACUUGAUUCUGGAUCUCUUGGCCGAAGUUCCUCUGAGAGUGGCUCAGGGGAAGAAGACAAUGUUGCUAAGGACAUCUUAAAAUCAGAUAAAUAUCUGGAUGGAUGUGGUUUGAAUGGUGAUGAUAAAAAUAGUAAUAAUCAUGACGUGGAGAGUCUGGAAGAAAAUAGAGACCACAAUGAAGUUGUGUCAAAUGUGCCUCACAAAUCUCACUCAAGCAAGGUGGAUGAAAUAGUUACUUUGCAACCUGGCAUCUCUCGUCCAGUGGAUGAAGUUGCUUCUGUUGCAGAAGUGAGGAAUAGUCUUGUACCCAAGCCACUUCAGGAAGAACCAACAUCUAUGAGUGCAAAUCUUCAGAACUUGGACAAGCCCCUUAACUUUGAUGAAUAUCAUUCAGCAACAGAGUUGGAGGUUCUUGGCUUGGACCGGUUAAAAUCAGAACUUCAAGCCCGCGGAUUGAAGUGUGGAGGUACUCUGCAAGAACGUGCGGCCAGGCUCUUCCUGCUCAAAACCACACCAUUAGAGAUGCUUCCAAAGAAGCUGUUUGCCAAGAAAUGAGAUGUCUAGUAUGCCUGAUCUAAUUCGGUUUUUCGGUGGAACUAACCUUACAAUAUGUGAAAUAGAGAUUGAAGCUUUUCCUAGAAGCUACGGCACGUAAUAAUUUUGUUGCGGCGGUUCAGGCACGUAGCAAUCUGGAGAUAGAUAUUGAGAUGUAUGCACAUUUGACCAACUAUGUCUACCGAUUGCGUGUCUCUUUGUGCUAUACUCAAAGACCUUCUACUCUAACUUCUUAUCUGACUGUGGGAUGUGGACGGAACAUUAUAUUGUAGUGCAAGAUUUUCAGGGGCCAUUUUGUUGUACUGGUGCUCGUUCACGUGUG